AGCUUGCUUGUUGAACUCUGUAUUUCCGUUAGUAAUAACUUUGUAUUUCUUGUCGGCAGCUCUGAUAAAUGGAACACACCAAACUAUCAGCCAUAUGACGCUUCAUCCGCACUUUGCCUGUGGGAAUCGAGUUCCUGGCCAAUCGCCAAACAAAAACUUUAAUUUUAGAAGGAACUUUAAACAUAUAGUAAAACGGGGAAAAAAAAUCUAAUAGCCUCGUUAAUUAUCUGCACUGUGCGACGGCCCAAAAAAUGCUUUUUUCUAAAAAGGAAGUUGAAACCCCCGGCCUCUACAUCAAACUGAUGCACAUAGCCAAAUUUUAUUAAUUUAUUAGCAAGCCUGACAAAAUGAAUACAACAAUAAAAAAAAAAUCCAAAGCCACCAAGCUAUUCCUACAAACCCGAUGAAAGGGUGGCCAUUCUCGGGGCCGCAUGCCCUGACCGCAUACAACAGCCUAACAUUUAAAUCCGGAGGCCACGAAGGCGCAACCGGUACAUCAAAAUGAAGCGAUCCUCCCCCUUGCAGGGUUCGAUCUCUGUGCUUACAGUGCUAGUCCCUGAAUGGACUCGCUAGCACACACAGUUUCAAGAUGUAAUAUCAAGAUACAAAGGUCAAAAGUAUAUUACAUCUCGUUGAUCCAGAAUUUAAUAGUACCUUACAUAUUGCAUAAUCUCAUGGGUUAGCUCAAAAGGAAAUAAAAUAUUGCAGCGGAAAACAGAAGGUGUAGGAGUCCCAUAACAACUCCACAAUC
RNAcentral lists this long non-coding RNA (751 nucleotides) under Brachypodium distachyon (stiff brome). Its description in RNAcentral is "long non-coding RNA (BDIS_LNC004871)". The record is from RNAcentral. Lineage: Eukaryota; Viridiplantae; Streptophyta; Magnoliopsida; Poales; Poaceae.